RNAcentral lists this ribosomal RNA (582 nucleotides) under uncultured bacterium. RNAcentral describes it as "bacterial SSU rRNA". It matches the Rfam family "Bacterial small subunit ribosomal RNA", at positions 202 to 803 of the family's 1533-position model. The record is from RNAcentral.
AAAAACUGAGGUGGUAUAGGAUGGACCCGCGUCUGAUUAGCUUGUUGGUGGGGUAACGGCUCACCAAGGCGACGAUCAGUAGCCGGCCUGAGAGGGCGACCGGCCACAUUGGGACUGAGACACGGCCCAAACUCCUACGGGAGGCAGCAGUGGGGAAUAUUGCACAAUGGGGGAAACCCUGAUGCAGCGACGCCGCGUGAGUGAAGAAGUAUUUCGGUAUGUAAAGCUCUAUCAGCAGGGAAGAAAAUGACGGUACCUGACUAAGAAGCCCCGGCUAACUACGUGCCAGCAGCCGCGGUAAUACGUAGGGGGCAAGCGUUAUCCGGAUUUACUGGGUGUAAAGGGAGCGUAGGUGGCAUGGUAAGCCAGAAGUGAAAACCCGGGGCUCAACCCCGCGGAUUGCUUUUGGAACUAUCAGGCUGGAGUGCUGGAGGGGUAAGCGGAAUUCCUAGUGUAGCGGUGAAAUGCGUAGAUAUUAGGAGGAACACCGGUGGCGAAGGCGGCUUACUGGACAGAAACUGACACUGAGGCUCGAAAGCGUGGGGAGCAAACAGGAUUAGAUACCCUGGUAGUCCACGCCGU